Molecule: ribosomal RNA, 294 nt
Filed under: uncultured bacterium
Lineage: Bacteria
Description: partial 16S ribosomal RNA
Rfam family: Bacterial small subunit ribosomal RNA
Source: RNAcentral
GUGUCAGCCGCCGCGGUAAUACAGAGGGUGCGAGCGUUGUCCGGAAUCACUGGGCGUAAAGGGCGCGUAGGCGGUCCAGUAAGCGUGUGGUGAAAGCCCGGGGCUCAACCCCGGGUCGGCCGUGCGAACUGCGGGACUCGAGCACUGUAGAGGCAGGCGGAAUUCCGGGUGUAGCGGUGGAAUGCGUAGAGAUCCGGAAGAACACCGGUGGCGAAGGCGGCCUGCUGGGCAGUAUAGCUGACGCUGAGGCGCGACAGCGUGGGGAGCAAACAGGAUUAGAUACCCCCGUAGUCC